CCCUUAGAUGUUCUGGGCCGCACGCGUGCUACACUGAGUAAAUCAAUGGGUAAGGGAACACGAAAGUGCAACCUAAUCUUCAAAUUUGCUCGUGAUGGGGAUCGACGGUUGCAAUUUUCCGUCGUGAACGAGGAAUACCUUGUAGGCGCGUGUCAUCAUCACGCGCCGAAUACGUCCCUGCCCUUUGUACACACCGCCCGUCGCUCCUACCGAUUGAAUGGUCCGGUGAAGCGUUUGGACUAUGGUUUUCUGAUGGUCCGCCGUUGGAUUACCGUGGGAAGUUCGUUAAACCUUAUCAUUUAGAGGAAGGAGAAGUCGUAACA
This 323-nucleotide ribosomal RNA is filed under the name uncultured eukaryote. Its description in RNAcentral is "partial 18S ribosomal RNA". It matches the Rfam family "Eukaryotic small subunit ribosomal RNA", at positions 1470 to 1796 of the family's 1831-position model. The record is from RNAcentral.